This 966-nucleotide ribosomal RNA is filed under the name Pseudomonas plecoglossicida. RNAcentral's name for it is "bacterial SSU rRNA". It matches the Rfam family "Bacterial small subunit ribosomal RNA", at positions 1 to 888 of the family's 1533-position model. The record is from RNAcentral. Lineage: Bacteria; Pseudomonadati; Pseudomonadota; Gammaproteobacteria; Pseudomonadales; Pseudomonadaceae.
AAUGAGUUCAAGGACCUGGUAAGUUUUGGAGGUGUUUGAAUAUAAACACUAUUCCCCCGUUGUGGGGGCUCCCGGAUUUUUUUUAGCACAGAGUUGAUCUGCUCAGAUUGACGCUGGCGGCAGGCCUACACAUGCAAGUCGAGCGGAUGACGGGAGCUUGCUCCCUUGAUUCAGCGGCGGACGGGUGAGUAAUACCUAGGAAUCUGCCUGGUAGUGGGGGACAACGUUUCGAAAGGAACGCUAAUACCGCAUACGUCCUACGGGAGAAAGCAGGGGACCUUUCGGGCCCUUGCGCUAUCAGAUGAGCCUAGGUCGGAUUAGCUAGUUGGUGAGGUAAUGGCUCACCAAGGCGACGAUCCGUAACUGGUCUGAGAGGAUGAUCAGUCACACUGGAACUGAGACACGGUCCAGACUCCUACGGGAGGCAGCAGUGGGGAAUAUUGGACAAUGGGCGAAAGCCUGAUCCAGCCAUGCCGCGUGUGUGAAGAAGGUCUUCGGAUUGUAAAGCACUUUAAGUUGGGAGGAAGGGCAUUAACCUAAUACGUUAGUGUUUUGACGUUACCGACAGAAUAAGCACCGGCUAACUCUGUGCCAGCAGCCGCGGUAAUACAGAGGGUGCAAGCGUUAAUCGGAAUUACUGGGCGUAAAGCGCGCGUAGGUGGUUCGUUAAGUUGGAUGUGAAAUCCCCGGGCUCAACCUGGGAACUGCAUCCAAAACUGGCGAGCUAGAGUAGGGCAGAGGGUGGUGGAAUUUCCUGUGUAGCGGUGAAAUGCGUAGAUAUAGGAAGGAACACCAGUGGCGAAGGCGACCACCUGGGCUCAUACUGACACUGAGGUGCGAAAGCGUGGGGAGCAAACAGGAUUAGAUACCCUGGUAGUCCACGCCGUAAACGAUGUCAACUAGCCGUUGGAAUCCUUGAGAUUUUAGUGGCGCAGCUAACGCAUGAAGUGACCGCUUUGGGGCCCG